AACUAUUUAAAUGAACUUGACAAAACAUGAGAACUUUAUAUAUAAAGUGAUCAAACAAUCUUCUACUUAUUAAAUGCAAAGGGGACAAAAUAUGGCUCAAAAUAAAUAUUUGUUUUGUGCUUUUAUCAUCUUUCUUUCUCUAUUUUUUGUCCUAACUAAAAGUUCUAUUCCCUGCAAGACACGUACUCAAUGUCCAGAGAAAAUGUGUCGUCUUCCUAAAUUUGUGUGGUGUAUUGAUGGUUCUUGUGUAUGCGCGUAAGUGUAACAAAUAAGUUGAAAAAUAAAUCGUUAUUUAAAAUAAGUUGAAAAAUAAAUGAGUAGUGAUAUAUGAACAUCCAUUUGAAGACAAUUUUGAUGAUAACUUUGUUUUUCUCACUUUUUAUUGGUCAAAAACAAUGGAGAGAGAAAAAGGAAGAGAGAUGAAAAGAAGAUAAUGUGAGUAUGAGAGAGAGUUGUCAAAAAGUUGUCAUAAAAUGAUUGUAAAAAUAUCAUUUCUCAAAAUAAAUCUAUAUUACUUGUAACUUUACAAUUUUAUUUGUACAUCAUAAUAUUUGUAAUCUUAAAAUCUCCAUCAUACUUUUAUUUGUUUCUUUGACCA
Molecule: long non-coding RNA, 598 nt
Organism: Medicago truncatula (barrel medic)
Lineage: Eukaryota; Viridiplantae; Streptophyta; Magnoliopsida; Fabales; Fabaceae
Exons: 2
Source: RefSeq, a predicted model, not a curated record